UCAGUCAUGAUCACAAAUGAGAAGAAGACUUGAGGGGAUUGAUGAGCUGAGGUCAUGCUGGACCACUAGAACGCAGCAAGAGCAGCUGAGCCCAGUGCUCUUGUCUCUAUUACUUACUGCCUCACAUUUCUUUCUGUUGAUUGUUGCUGUGUGGAAAGUCAGAGUUGGGAGCAGGGGCUAUGAAGUUGGUGAGCCCCAAAUCACAUUUCCUCCUUUGUAAGAGAGUUGUGCACCCAGGGCACAGUCAAGACAGAAACUGAGGGUAGAAACAGAAGGGGUGUGGCAGCUAAGAUCAUCUUGUUCUCUCAGGAAAGCCUAUGGGAGACUUCUGAUCCCAUUUCGUAGGCAGAAUAGGGGGUCACCUGUUAUCACCUAGCCUCAAGAAAGGAACCAUUAAGCUGUAGCCUCUGUAGUUGGAGGUAGGAGUGAGAAGGGGGUGGGACCUGGCUCUCUGGGUCAAUUAACAUAGUCUGCCUCAGGUAGAUCCUGAAUCCCAGGGUGCUGUAGACAUGGUGCAGGUCAUGGCUAGCCUCAUGCCUCUGGUCACCCUAUCCAGACAAGUUGAGUGGCAGUAGUGGAGAUGGUCUGACGUCUCAGCCUGGUGGGACUCACUGCCCACUCCCCAGGCCCACCACUGGAAUGAUGGCUGUCUUUCUUUGAGAGCACAUAGGUGGAACAUUAGGGAGAGGGAGAUGAACGAGGCCAUACUAUUGCAAUCACUUGGGAAAAAAAUACAAAAUUUUCUGAAAAUACAAGAUGCUUUCUACUGCCACCAGACUUCCUUUGGAAGUUUUCCUACCGCUUAAUAACUAGGAACUUGUUGGCAUCUGACAGAGCAUCUCAGAUUUCUUAUGUAAAAUGUGGAAUUGUCAACAGUCAGAUGCUUCAAUGGCCAAGACUGUGGUGUGCAGUUUCUAUCAGCGUGUACAGGACAUCCUGCCUGGUUUUGGCCUCAAGGAAGCAAUGGUGAGAUUUUGUAGCUCACCGUCUCCUAGUUGGAGCAAAGGGUGCCAAACAGAGGUCAAGCUCGGGCCACAGGGAAACUGGGAAAAUACAUUCACGAUGUUCAUUGCCAUGUGCGAGGAGUCCAGUGGAUUUCAGAAAAGUUGUCUUCUGUGUCUCCUUAUAGGAUAUGGCAAUAGCCCCUUACUGGAAGAGCAUUUUUAGAGCUGCCAUUGAUGGACACAGAGGGUGUUAAAACCCAGAGCACAUAAGCCAGGAUGAGAAAAUUAAUCAGAAGAUAAAAGACAGCGGGCUUUGGGGACCCUGGCCGAGCCCUCCUGCAUGCUCCUGGGACAUCCUUUCAGACCAGCAGCACCAUCCCAUGCAGGGGCUGUGACAGAUGACUUAUAAUGUAGACAUCACCUCUGCUGGUGGACAGCCUUCGGAUUUGCUGAGUCCUUUCAUAACAAAUAAAACCAAACACG
This 1427-nucleotide long non-coding RNA is filed under the name Mus caroli (Ryukyu mouse). RNAcentral describes it as "lncRNA (MGP_CAROLIEiJ_G0013411.1)". The record is from RNAcentral. Lineage: Eukaryota; Metazoa; Chordata; Mammalia; Rodentia; Muridae.